ACACACACACACACGCUCACACACACACACACACACACACACACACACACACACACACACACACACACACACACAUUUAUAUAUUACAUACCUACCAUAAUGUAAUAACUUCUUUUUUCCCUUGUUGAGGAAUGUGGUUUGAUGAGCUGAGUGGCAGGCUGGUGCGGGGAAGCUUGGUGGCGUGUGGAAACUCAUCGUCUGUUCCAACUAAGCGAUAGGGAAGUUUAACUCUCCUGAAAGACACAUCACAAGUAAAUGAUAUACAAUGUAAUUUUCACAAGGAAAUCCAUGAUUGAUUAACUGAGAUUAUGCCUGUCUCCUGUUGAGCAGUGGCCAUAUUUAGCGUGGAAUAUAAGAGUGAGGGGGUGGGGAGAGAAAGGGAGGAGGGGGGGAGAGGCCGCUCAGUGGGCAGUAGCCAUUGUCUGUGUCAACAUGCCGUUCCGCCCCGCUGGACUGAUAUUGGUGCCCCGCCCGCCCCCGGAUGCCUCAACCCUCCUCACCCCCUCACACUGGGGGUGAGUGUCUGCAGGAGCUGCUUGCAUGGCCGAGCUGGCUCGGGUGCAGGUGCAAGGAGGACGUCCCAUUCAUCACUCGUAGCUGACAAGGCAAACAUCCAGCAGCCAGUUUGUCAGCGAGUUUGUCAGCCACUUUGUCAACGAGUCCGCCAGUCAGCGUCAUCAGGCCUUCAUCUAACCAGCCGUUAUAGUUGAAAAAUAGACUAAUUGUUAUGCGACUGCGUGUAUGUGUGUGUGUAUGUGUGUGUGUGUCACUUAUUCACCACAAGCACGUGAGGUAUGGUUCAUGAAAGAAAAAUAAUGAGUUUUUUUUUUUUUAUUAUUGCUUGAACAAAUGAAAGUAUACUGAAAUACAGACCUCUUGGCGACCGA
This is a long non-coding RNA of Scylla paramamosain (green mud crab), 887 nucleotides long. RefSeq lists it as uncharacterized. The record is from RefSeq and is a predicted model, not a curated record. The transcript has 2 exons. Lineage: Eukaryota; Metazoa; Arthropoda; Malacostraca; Decapoda; Portunidae.